Molecule: ribosomal RNA, 253 nt
Filed under: uncultured bacterium
Lineage: Bacteria
Description: partial 16S ribosomal RNA
Rfam family: Bacterial small subunit ribosomal RNA
Source: RNAcentral
UACGAAGGGGGCUAGCGGUGUUCGGAAUUACUGGGCGUAAAGCGCACGUAGGCGGAUAUUUAAGGCAGGGGUGAAAUCCCGGGGCUCAACCCCGGAACUGCCUUUGAUACUGGGUAUCUGGAGUCCGGAAGAGGUGAGUGGAAUUCCGAGUGUAGAGGUGAAAUUCGUAGAUAUUCGGAGGAACACCGGUGGCGAAGGCGGCUCACUGGUCCGGUACUGACGCUGAGGCACGAAAGCGUGGGGAGCAAACAGG